Molecule: transfer-messenger RNA, 388 nt
Filed under: bacterium
Lineage: Bacteria
Rfam family: transfer-messenger RNA
About the family: Bacterial tmRNA, also known as 10Sa RNA or SsrA, is named for its dual tRNA and mRNA-like properties. Its role is to liberate the mRNA from a stalled ribosome.
Source: RNAcentral
GGGGGCGCACCGGCUUUGACGUGUUGUUGGGGUCAGGAAGUGCAUGUCGAGCUUUGAUUAAGUACUCGUAAAAAAAAUGAUCAACUAAUAAAUGCAAACACUAUGUUUGUACCACAAACUAACCAUGGGGUUGCAGUUUCUGCAUACGCUUAAGCUAGUUUAGUGGUCUUAUCAGACUGGCGUGUCUAUCAGCUGGAAUGAUUCGUAGAAUAAACGAUAGGACCUGCAAGCGAGAUUUCUUUGGUAGUAGCUUGUUUGUACUAUAACAAAGCGGGUAGUAGUUUUUUUGUCCUUGAAAGACGCUAUCUUGUAUAAGCAAGGAACAAACAUGUAGUACUUUCUUUCUGUGGCAGUGCGGACAUGGGUUCGAUUCCCAUCGCCUCCAAAU